UAAACUCAAAUUUAUAUGGAUUUCGAACGUUUGCUUACGUUUGCCGCUAAGGGCGCUGUUCCGACUGCAUAUAAAUUAAAAAA
This 83-nucleotide microRNA precursor is filed under the name Bombyx mori (domestic silkworm). RNAcentral's name for it is "mir-2807 microRNA precursor family". It matches the Rfam family "mir-2807 microRNA precursor family". Lineage: Eukaryota; Metazoa; Arthropoda; Insecta; Lepidoptera; Bombycidae. The record is from Rfam by way of RNAcentral.